Molecule: unclassified non-coding RNA, 1978 nt
Filed under: Hevea brasiliensis (rubber tree)
Lineage: Eukaryota; Viridiplantae; Streptophyta; Magnoliopsida; Malpighiales; Euphorbiaceae
Source: RNAcentral
AUCAAAACUUUGAGAUAACUAAGUUCGGUGCUUAGCAUCUUAGUUCAGAACCAGUUCCUUAACGUGCCCUGACUUUUAUACAAAAAUUCAUAAUUUAUGAAACCCCCUCUUUAGAAGUUCACCAGAUGCCCGUGGUUCUAAUUAACACAUUACUAACAAACUCCAUAAUUUCUCAUUUAGACAUGUGUCCAAGUAAAUUAAAUACAUGCUAUUCUUUAUGACUACUCAUGCCAGCUUUCUUCAAUUCUUGAAAUGCGUUUAUGGUCUCUGUGUCAAAGCCGCCUGCAAACUGAAUGUUCAAAUUGUUUGUAAGAUAGAUAUAUAUAAAUUCUAGAUCUGAGCUUGUGGGAGAAAGGCUUACCUGAUGUACUCGAUAAGCAAAUCUAGCUCCUUGAAGCAGGAGAUUCUCUUCAUCUAAGCACUCAUUGAUCUGCAGUUCUUUAGUUAUCCUUUUCAUAUACUCCUUGGCUAGCCUCAAAGAACUUAAUUUGAUCUGUAAACAAUAUCAGGAUUGCUUCUUAGCAUGCAUGAAGAUAAACCUCUCUCAAAGAAUCUUUAUUGUUAUUAUUAAUAAUUGUCUGCUAAUUUAUUAGUUGGCAAGGUAUUGUCAGUAGUUGAACUAUCAUGUUUAUGGUAAAAUUAGCUAUCUUCUACCUACCUGACCAAUCAAGCCCGUGUCCAGCAACCAUUCCCAGGGGAUCUGGAAAUCCCUGUACCUCUUGACCGUGCCUUCCCUUGUCCUUUCGGUGUUGCUAAUGCUUCUCUCCAACCUGUAAAUUUAAUGGUUAAUCAUGUCAUUAAUUCAUGGGAUCAGUUAAUGAAGGACGUUAUUGCAAAUUUAGUUUGUACAUGCUCGCCUGUCUUGCAGUGCUUGCAUCUUUCCUACAGCCUUCACCAAAGGUUCUUUUGGAUUGUCUUCAAAUGAUGAAAUUUCUGAAUCAAGGUUUUUCAGGUCUCGGUAGUUGAAAGCAGCUUCUCUUAGAGCGUCUGAUUUACGUUCUGGCCAUUGGGUGAAAUGCUUCAAUACAGCUCUUUCAUCAACUAGGGAAGAAAGUUCAUGAUCUAGCCAUUUCACAAAUGACUCCACAUCAGAUAUAUCUUUAAAAGCUGCAGACUCCACUUCUUUGAUUAAUAAAUUAAUGAAUUCCUUGCGUUUUUCAACGUCUGAUUUUAUAGCGGAAAGAUGAGUGGAGCGGUUCUCAAUUUCUCCAAUCAUGUUCAAUGUAAAUGCAGUUCCUGGAGUAGCUGUAGAAUUGCUUUUGUUUUCCAUGUGGGCAUUUUUCCUUGUAAGCGAACGAUAAAACUCCACAACUUCUGGUACACGUCGCACUGAUCUUGAUCCAGUAGACAUCUUUGAUGGUGGCGGUGGAGGUGGUGGUGCAAAUGUUGGUGGUGGCAUUUUAUUUACUCCAGAUAAUGGAGAGGAGACAGGAGAAAUCAGCUUUGGUGGUGGAUUUGGUAAUUGCCUUUCCUUUCUGGGUACUGAUUCUUGAAUUUUCGGCGUUGGGCUAGGAAGUUCUGCACUCUUUUCUGAUGCUUUGACAAACUCUGAUGGUUUCUGUUGAUAUUCAUCAUUCUUGCUGCUAUCAUUGGCGUUCUGUAACUUCUUCCAAAGCAUAGAUUUCCUCUCGUUAUCAUGUGCUUUGAGGGAACUUAUCUGUGCUUUUAGACGAACUACUUCUUGUCUUAAUUCCUGAUUUUCCUUCUCCACUGAAUCAUUCCUUAUCAGAGAAGCUUCGAGUUCUUUCUUGAGGUAGAUUAUCAAGGAUUCAUCCUCUUCUUGAGGCAUUUUUCUCUCUAGUUCUGCUUUCAUUAGAAGAAAGACAGAAUGGGGUCUCGUUCUAUUGCUAGAUCAUGUGCCCUUUUAAAUAUGAUCUUACUUUUCAAGUAAGAUAUGUUCACCUAAGCCUAACGAAAAUACCCCAAAUUACACUUGGUAAUGUAUGCAGACUACUAUGUUUUACAAAGGGUAUUUUCG